This 272-nucleotide unclassified non-coding RNA is filed under the name fungal sp. RNAcentral's name for it is "partial internal transcribed spacer region". The stretch from base 1 to 46 matches the Rfam family "Eukaryotic small subunit ribosomal RNA", at positions 1786 to 1831 of the family's 1831-position model. Lineage: Eukaryota; Fungi. The record is from RNAcentral.
AAGUCGUAACAAGGUUUCCGUAGGUGAACCUGCGGAAGGAUCAUUAGUAGUUAAGAGGUUGAGUGAAGGCGCAAGCCUGAACUUGACCGAGCGAGGGCGACAGCCUGAGCAGAGGGUGGAGGGUGGAGUGAAGUGGAGGUGUAUCACAUGGUACUACCACCACCCACUCCCAUCCACACCCAGUCACGGGCGCUCGCAGGAGUGCCUUGUAACAAGUAAUUUACAUCUAAAUCAUACAAGCAAAACUUUUAACAAUGGAUCUCUGGGCUCCU